Pan troglodytes (chimpanzee) is the source of this 4422-nucleotide long non-coding RNA. RefSeq lists it as uncharacterized. The record is from RefSeq and is a predicted model, not a curated record. The transcript has 6 exons. NCBI's taxonomy places the organism in Eukaryota, Metazoa, Chordata, Mammalia, Primates, Hominidae.
GGGUGGGGACAAAUAAGGGAAUAUAUGCUGGCCACCUCAGCCAGGGGUAGCAACCCACUGGGGUCUCCUUCCGCUGUGUGGAAGGGUUGUUUUUCUGCUCUUCGCAAUAAAUCUUGCGGCUGCUCAUUCUUUGGGUUGCCGCUGCCUUUUAUGAGUUGUAGCACUCACCGCGAAGGUCUGCAGCUUCACUCCUGAAGCCAGCUAGAGCCAGCGAGACCACGAACCCACUGGGAGGGAUGAACAACUCCGGACACGCCACCUUUAUGAACUGUUAACACUCACAGCGAAGGUCUGCAGCUUCACUCCUGAAGCCAGCGAGACCACAAACCCACUGGGAGGAAUGCACAACUCCGGACGCCCUGCCUUUAAAAGCUGUAACGGUCACUGCGAAGGUCUGCGGCUUCACUCCUGAAGUCAGCGAAACCACGAACCCACCUGAAGGAAGAAACUCCGGACACGUCCGAACACCAGAAGGAACAAACUCUGGACACACCAUCUUUAACUGUAACACUCACCACGAGGGCCGCAGCUUCAUUCUUGAAGUCAGCGAGACCAAGAACCCACCAAUUCCGAACACGCAAGUAUUCGUAACGUUCUUCUGUUCCAAGAACAAUGGUCUUCUUACUUCCUUGAUGGCUCACAACAUGCUCCUUUCUACUGCAGGAACACUGUAUAACUUCUAUCAAGCAUGAACUCCCCACCUCUGUUUGACAUACUUCUCUACUUUCAGAACUCAGCUGAACUAUCGCUUCUCAAGGGAGCAUUCAAACUUCCUGAACAGAACCACCUUAGAUAUUGCUGGCCAGCUCAUAAAUUGUGGCUUGUGGUCCAGCUAAUCUUUCCUAGUCUAUUCAGCUAUGGCCAGAGAAGAUGUGCUUAACUUGUGGAGCCUUACUGUUUCUCUAAGCUAGGUAGGUCAGUAAAUCCUCUCCUACACCAUAGUUAUUUGCUUUAAGCCAACUUGAAGUGAACUUCUGUCUCUUCUUUAAUCUGAGAAUCUUACGUCUUCAAGCCCUGUUCACACCGCUUGUCCCAGUAGAAUAAACUUUAUUUAAGUUAGAUAUCUAGCAGAUUACCAAGGAGGAGAAGGAUCAGCAUCAAUAUCUUGUAUUUCAUAAGGCUCUAACAUUUCAAGCAUCAUCUCAUAAGUUCACUAACCCUGGUUUCAGUUUGCAUAUUUGUUGAAAAAACAAGAGAAGUUCGUUCAACAGCAUUAAAAUUCAUCCCUGCUAACAUUCGACAAACUUUUUUUGGGAAUUAAUCAACUGCAGUGGCUCCUGAAUAAAACACUCACAAUAUAAUAUUUUAAGCCACAGCUAGCUAUUAACACUCUGAAAGAUGAACUGCAUACAUGUUUCACGAAGAUUUAUAUGAAGGACUGAUCUGAAAUAUAUAAGAGAUGCUGAUAGAGAAUUCACCUGGCUUUUAAAUGAGGCAAUACUCUCCCAGAAUUUAUUUAUUACCAAUGUCUUUCAAUUGUGAAAGAUGGUGUAAGAACUUGGAACCCACAAGCAUCUGGAUAGAAAUAUGAAGAUGGCUUGACCUUGCAGGUGAUGAGUUAUUUGCCGCUGCUCCCGGGUAUUAUUCCACCUGCUUUGGGUAAACAGCAUGAUAUUGCCAACAGGGGGAGCUACAGACAGAAGAUGGAUGAAGCCGAUUUUGUUUACGAGUGUAAUUUAGCUGAACUGACAAUAUAUUAUACCUUAAUAGUCCCUCAGAGUGAAUUUAAUUGAUGACCCAACUUAGAUAUUCUCUUAGAGUAUCUUUGUACUGGAUUGGAUGCAAGCUGGGUGCUUAUGUUUGCUUCCCUGUUGUUAAUAGAGUUACUGCCAUCUGGAGAAGAUAUCUGCUAAUAUGUUACGGGAGUUUUUUCCAUUGUUGCUGCUUCUGUGAAGAACUCAGAAAGGUUCUGAUAAGCCAAGAGAAAAGACAAAAGUAAUGCUUUUCUCAGCGAGAUCUAAGAACGUUUAGUAGAUUGACAGAGAUCAUUAACACUUUAAAUGUAGUUUUACUUCCAUUUUCAGUCAGGUGAAGUGAAAGUAAAAGUUUAUACUGGAUAGCAAAAUUAAAUAAUGUUUUUAGCGUUGAGACUGCCUAUUAUACACUUACACACACACUUACACACAUAUCCAUGAGAGAAAAUAUUUAUAAAAAGAAAAUUACAACUAAGAAAUCUUGUUUGAUAAUACUACUUUAAAAGCUAAGGCACAUGAAAGAGAAUUAGAUCUCUGUCAUUAAGAUUGUCCAUAAAAAUGCUUGUUUCUCAUACAUAAGACAGUGGGAAAAAAGGUUAGGACUAAUCAAUUUUUAUCUUCUUAUGAAUAUAGUAGAGAGCUUAGGCAUGUAAUAUUAUGAAACUUUACAAUACUGAUUUAAAAUGUGCUAUAAGCACACUGGCCCCCACAGCCCUGCUAAGUUUACUAUAGACAUCAGGUCUUUUUUUUUAAUAUGAUAUUUGUUAAUUAAUUAAUUUAUUUAUUCACCAAACAUUGUUUAUUAAGCAUAUUGUAUGUGUUUAGCAUAAACUUAGGGGCAAGAAAAUUAAUGACUAAGAAAUUUCCCCUGUCUUCAAAGUGUGCAUAGUUUAAUAAAAAGAGACAGCUAUUUUAAAUAUGUGACUGUAGUAAAAUUACAGAUGUCAAUUUAAAAAUAUGCAUAAGACAACGCACAAAAGAGGCAGUUCUACUGCUAAUUUUGUGGUGGAUGGACAGUUUUACCACAUUGAUCUUCGUUGACCAGAAAAGGUCAGCUGUGAUCAGUCUGUAAUCUGUUCAAUAGAAGACUUAUACGAGGCAUGUAUCAUUUUGAGACUCUGUGAUUGUUGUUUAGAAUACAAAAACAAAAGGUCAUGUCUUUGAAGAAUUUACAGAGCUUAAAAGAAUUUAAAUACCUUAGCAUAUUUCCCAGGCCCUUGUUGGGCACUGCUUGUCUGGAUGAUCCACUAGUAUCUCAAAGUCAAUGUAUGCUACACUAAAUCUUUCUUUCUAAAUCUUUUCCUACACUUAUGACUCCAUCAUAUUUCUAGUCUCUAAAACUUAAAGACUCAGAGUCUCUGUCUUCAUCUCACUGAUUACUCACAUGCAGCCACUUCCUGCUCUUUUAUUUCUGUUACCAUUGCACAGUUCAGGUGCUUUUGUAAGACCACCCAAAAUAAUCAGCAUCACUAGUCUCUUUCCUUUCCCAUUCCAAUUUAUAUUAAAACCACUUACUAAAAAGUUUUAAGACACACUGCUUCUAACUUAAUAUUCCCUUUUAGUCUUAAAUGAUUUUAAUGAUUACACUACAUAUUUAGAAAAAAAUAAUAAACAGGAAACCUUAAAUUGCUAUAUAAGGCCCUUUACACUCAGGACCUAGUCAAUUUUUUCAAUCUGUAUUUUAUUAUUUCUGAAUAUCAUUCAGCAUUCCAUUUAAAUGGAAUUAUGUAGUAUUUCCCAUACCUGUCCUGCAGUUUCCUGAUUCCCUGCUUUAUUUUCUCUUAUAAUUCAAUCUAGACUGUAUUUUUCUAUACAGAAAUCUCAUUCCCCUUGUUAGAUCGAAAAUGCUAUUUAUCGGAUGUGUGAGAUUUUCUUCAAUAUAGUCCCAUGAAAGGCUUCUGUGAAAUUUCGUAAUAUUUUAUGCACACUUGAAACAGAAGUGAUCAUUUGGGGUUCCUUGUGGUGUAGUACAGAAAGCAUUAGAUUUAAAAUUAGACCUGUGAAUUUCAAUUGUCCCUGUCACUAUUGUUUCUGAGACUUUAGCUAAAUCAUAUAUACUGCUAAUUUUGUGGUGGAUGAACAUUUUUACCACAUUGAUCUUUGUUGACCAGAAAAGGUCAGCUGUGAUCAGUCUAUAAUCUAUUCAAUAAAAGACAUAUUUAUUGUCACCUCAGAAGUAAUAAUAUAUAUCAAUAAUAAUAAUAUUACUCAUUGAGAGUUAGAGAAAGUAAGUGCCAAUACAUUUUGUAAAAUGUUAAACUGAAAUGAGAGAUAGAUAUGGGUUUUAAUCUUUGGUUUUCAUCUGAUUCAUGAAACAAGAUUAUUUUGGGUUUUAUUUUUCUAUUACCAUUGAGGCUACAUAAUAGUCACUUUAAGUUUAAAACAAGCAUAAAGGUAAAUGUGAAGAAGUGGGUUUAUAUUUAAUAAGCACAAGAGAUAUUUGUCAAUUGAAUAAAUAAAUGACUGAAUGAGUAGAUGAACUUCAGCAAGACAUAUUACAUCUUUCCUAAAUAGUGUCAGGUUGCAUAUAAAAAUCAGCAUCUACAUAUAUUCUGAAUUCAAUUGAGAAUAACAUGUGAUUCAGGAGUUAACAGUAUUUCCCUGAUGCUCAAAAUCAGCAUUAAUGAGAUUUAAUAUGAAAACAAACGAACAAAACUUUGGUUUAGGUUAAGAAAGCAAAAUUAGUUUUAUGAUCUCGACAGUUCUCAUAACGAAGAUCAAACACAUU